UUUUUCGCUGACAAUUUGACCACCUAUUUUGCUUUCUCAUUUCUCAUCUACAAGUUUUGCACUUUUUUCACUCACAAUUCGACCACCUCCAAAGUCUACAGCUCCGACACCUCCAAAGUCUACGUUGAUUUGGCUAGACUUGGCCAGCUCCGAUGUUGCCGCACCUUCAUUUUGACCAUUUGCCAAUCAUCGCUUCCAUCGAUGACAGAAAAAAGGUAAAUGCUGAAAUUUAUUGUAAAACCUAAAAUUAGUUUUGCUGAUGUAUAUGAUGAUGUGUGUAUAGAAAGCAGAGACACGCCAUGAAAAAAAUCUCUAUUUUCAUUGUGUGUGAAAUCUGAAUUUAUUUAUUUUAUUUUAUUUUAUUAUUAUUAUUAUUAUUUUUUUGUAUUUGAAGUAGAAGCAUGAUGACUAGAAAUGACAGUUCGAUCGGCCUUUUGUCGUAAGGAAAGAAAUUUCGGAUGACAUCGAAGCUGUUAUGUUGGUGGAGUCGGAUGAGGAGAGUGAUAUUGACAAUACAAAAUUACUGGGUGAUGGUGCAACAUGAAGAAAUGUGUGACUGUUACUGAGGUGGAUACGAAGUUUAAGGACAAAAAUGAAAUAUUCAAUUUUUAUAAAAGAUAUGCAUUUGACUUGGGGUUUUCGAAUUAGAAAAGGGAAAUCGAAAAGGAAAGAUGAUGGAGUUAAGUGAUAUAUUACAUUUGUUUGUAGUCGCGAAGGGAAAAAAAUUUAAUAAUACAAGCGUUUCUUUGAAGCCACAAGCUACCAUGCCGAGUGGAUGUAAAGCUAGACUUACCUCAUGUUCAGAUAUUCGUGGAAUAUGGCGAAUUAACAUAGUACACUUGGAUCACAAUCAUAGAACAAGUUCUUCGAAGUCCAAAUUAUAUCGAUGCAACAGAGAAUUAAGUGCUCAAGUAAAACAUCAACUUGAAGUAAAUGACAUUGUAGGAAUACCACUGCACAAAAGUUUCAACUAUGCAAUUAUCGUAGGAGGUGGAUAUGAGAAUAUGGCCUGCAUUGAGAAGGACUAUCGAAACUAUGUUAAGCGAGUUAGGAGGCUAAGACUCGGAGAAGGUGACGCGCAGCAAUUCGAUCAUACUUUUUGACCAUGCAAGCAUGGGGAUGUACUGAAACUAAUACAGGAUUUCAUGGUUGUUGUGUUCAAUUUAUUUCUUAAUUGGGGAAAAUAUUGUUAUGCUAUUUGUUACGGCAUUGUUGUUUAACCAUUGUAAGAAGUUGUCUUUGUUUGAA
RNAcentral lists this long non-coding RNA (1248 nucleotides) under Olea europaea subsp. europaea. Lineage: Eukaryota; Viridiplantae; Streptophyta; Magnoliopsida; Lamiales; Oleaceae. The record is from RNAcentral.